UUGCACCAAUAAAUAGUUGAUGUAAUAUUGACUCUGUCAAAUAAAAUUCUAGGUAGAAUUAUGAUAAUGACAUUGUCUGCCUAUAUGUCUUGACCAAAUUACGUGCCAGCAGUCGCGGUAAUACGUAGAAGACUAGUGUUAUUCAUCUUUAAUAGGUUUAAAGGGUACCUAGACGGUAGAUCAAGCCUUCGCAGGGACUAAUUUACUAGAGUUACUUACGAGGGGGUAUUAAAGUACUGCAGGUGUAGGGAUGAAAUCCUGUCAUACCUCUUUUCGAAAGAAAAAUUAUGGCACAGGUAUAGGUGAAAGCAUCCCCUUAUGUGAUAACUGACGUUGAAGGACGAAGGCUUUGUGUCGCGAACAGGAUUAGAUACCCCAGUAGUCAAAGCAGAAAAUGAUGAAUGUCAUAGAUUAGAUAAAUAGUUUAUUCUAUAAAUGAAAAUGUAAGCAUUCCACCUCAAGAGUAAUUUGGCAACAUUGGAACUGAAAUCAUUAGACCGUUUCUGAAACCAGUAGUGAAGUAUGUUGUUUAAUUUGAUGAUCCGCAAAAAACCUUACCACAAUUUGAAUAUUUAUAUCUAUCUUAUUUUUCCGUAAAAAAAUAAAAAGGUAAUAUAUUUACAAGCGUUGCACGGCUGUCUUCAGUUAAUGUCGCGAGACUUUGGUUAGUUCCAUUAAAUUAACGUAAACCCUUACUUUAUUUUUAUAUAAAGUAGUUCCCCGCUAUAUUGGAUAUGAUAACAGGGACUAAGACAAGUCAUCAUGGCCUGAAUAUUGUGGGCUAUAGACG
RNAcentral lists this ribosomal RNA (790 nucleotides) under Lepraria lobificans. RNAcentral's name for it is "mitochondrial SSU rRNA". It matches the Rfam family "Bacterial small subunit ribosomal RNA", at positions 397 to 1222 of the family's 1533-position model. The record is from RNAcentral. Lineage: Eukaryota; Fungi; Ascomycota; Lecanoromycetes; Lecanorales; Stereocaulaceae.